This 27-nucleotide non-coding RNA is filed under the name Homo sapiens (human). The record is from RNAcentral. Lineage: Eukaryota; Metazoa; Chordata; Mammalia; Primates; Hominidae.
UGUGGAGUGCUUAUCCUUGACAGGUAU